This 468-nucleotide ribosomal RNA is filed under the name uncultured bacterium. Its description in RNAcentral is "partial 16S ribosomal RNA". It matches the Rfam family "Bacterial small subunit ribosomal RNA", at positions 28 to 507 of the family's 1533-position model. The record is from RNAcentral.
GACGAACGCUGGCGGCGUGCUUAACACAUGCAAGUCGAACGGAAAGGCCCUGCUUUUGUGGGGUGCUCGAGUGGCGAACGGGUGAGUAACACGUGAGUAACCUGCCCUUGACUUUGGGAUAACUUCAGGAAACUGGGGCUAAUACCGGAUAGGAGCUCCUGCUGCAUGGUGGGGGUUGGAAAGUUUCGGCGGUUGGGGAUGGACUCGCGGCUUAUCAGCUUGUUGGUGGGGUAGUGGCUUACCAAGGCUUUGACGGGUAGCCGGCCUGAGAGGGUGACCGGCCACAUGGGGACUGAGAUACGGAGCAGAAGCGUAUGGGAGGCAGCAGGGGGGAAUAUGGCAGAAUGGGCGGAAGCCUGAGGCAGAAACGCCGCGAGCGGGAUGACGGCCUUCGGGUGGUAAACAGCUGUCGCCUGUGACGAAGCGAGAGUGACGGUAAUGGGUAAAGAAGCACCGGCUAACUACGUG